AGAUAACCUAGAACCCUGUAUAUAAGCGGUAUGCUUUUGGACGGCACAGUUUACGUUUCACGAGCCUCAUAGAUACAUUGCUGUUAAAACCUGAAUAUCAUAAAGGACAACUUUAAAAGUGUUUCUUUCCGGUGUUGUUCACGGGCUUGUUCCUGAACAGCAAGUGAUGGAGAGAAGCGGAGUGAUAUUUCAACACCGUGAUCUACUGUCUCGAGAACUUCGGAAAGUUAGAUUUAAAGAAAGACAUUAUCCCUUUUGUAAAAAUGGGUCGUAAAAUCGGAGAAAUUUCUGUUGAAGUGGUCGAAUUGGUGCAGGAGGUGGAGCAACAGAAAAAAGACGUGAAAAUUACGUGUUACACUUCAACUACUAACACUGACGCCACUCGAAAACCAUCUGGCGUCAAAGGAUGCAGAGCAUCCACCAGACGAGUGGGCGACAUAUAAUCGACAGGAUCCACGCCCAGACUGUGUGGCAAGACUACCUUGGCCAAUCCCAGAGUCUACAGCUGACGACGCGGAUGUGAACGCCAUCUCUACGUCUGCUUUGGAUCACGGAACAAUGGAAGCCACUCAGCCUCUUCUUUAGACGACGCUCCUACGGUGUCCAAUCUCUCGGUCCACCUGGUCAGCGCAAGGGGCCGCAUUUGCCAACGCAGCCAGUGACAGCCUAUAGUAGUCUGGGGUCUAGUCGGCCUUAUGUAGCCAUGUGUAUUCUACAUUUUUUCAACCUCAAAUUGAAAUAACUGAGCUUAAAACGAUUUAAAAUGAUUUAACUGAAAACUAAUGAGGGUUAGUCUAAAGCGUCUGGAGUUGAAUUUGAAAUACCAUUUAGAAUGGCUGAAAUUUUAUUUGAAGUAACUCAGGGUUAAAUUAAAACAUCCGAGGUCAAUCUAUAAGAAAAGUGAAGUUUAUUCUAAAACAUCCCAUGUAAUUUAAAAGACCUGAUGUUUAUUUUAAAACAAACGAACUACAUAUAUGAUUACUUUCUGCCAAAUUGAAACAAAAGAAAUAGUUAUAUUAGGUUUAUGAUAAGUAAUUUUUAUCAACUAAAUAAUAGCAUUUUGUAAUAUAUAAAAAGUUAUUUAAAUGAUUACUGUAAACAUUCUCUUCACAAAAAAAUACUACCAGUUGUCGAGCUAUUCAUUGUAUCUUAUAAAUGAUAAUAAAACUAAGGAUAAAAUUA
This is a long non-coding RNA of Penaeus indicus, 1182 nucleotides long. RefSeq lists it as uncharacterized. The transcript is spliced from 2 exons. NCBI's taxonomy places the organism in Eukaryota, Metazoa, Arthropoda, Malacostraca, Decapoda, Penaeidae. The record is from RefSeq and is a predicted model, not a curated record.